CCUACGGGUGGCAGCAGUGAGGAAUAUUGGUCAAUGGCCGGAAGGCUGAACCAGCCAAGCCGCGUGAGGGAGGAAGGCGCAGAGCGUCGCAGACCUCUUUUGCCGGGGGACAAAAGGCCGGACUCGUCCGGUCCUGAGGGUACCCGGAGAAAAAGCAUCGGCUAACUCCGUGCCAGCAGCCGCGGUAAUACGGAGGAUGCGAGCGUUAUCCGGAUUCAUUGGGUUUAAAGGGUGCGUAGGCGGAUUGAUAAGUUAGAGGUGAAAUGUCCGAGCUUAACUCGGGAACUGCCUCUAAUACUGUUGAUCUAGAGAGUAGAUGCGGUAGGCGGAAUGUAUGGUGUAGCGGUGAAAUGCUUAGAGAUCAUACAGAACACCGAUUGCGAAGGCAGCUUACCAAUCUAUAUCUGACGUUGAGGCACGAAAGCGUGGGGAGCAAACAGGAUUAGAUACCCCUGUAGUC
Molecule: ribosomal RNA, 460 nt
Filed under: uncultured bacterium
Lineage: Bacteria
Description: partial 16S ribosomal RNA
Rfam family: Bacterial small subunit ribosomal RNA
Source: RNAcentral